RNAcentral lists this ribosomal RNA (492 nucleotides) under uncultured bacterium. RNAcentral's name for it is "partial 16S ribosomal RNA". It matches the Rfam family "Bacterial small subunit ribosomal RNA", at positions 29 to 507 of the family's 1533-position model. The record is from RNAcentral.
AGUGAACGCUGGCGGUAGGCCUAACACAUGCAAGUCGAACGGCAGCACAGUAAGAGCUUGCUCUUACGGGUGGCGAGUGGCGGACGGGUGAGGAAUACAUCGGAAUCUACUUUUUCGUGGGGGAUAACGUAGGGAAACUUACGCUAAUACCGCAUACGACCUACGGGUGAAAGCAGGGGAUCUUCGGACCUUGCGCGAUUGAAUGAGCCGAUGUCGGAUUAGCUAGUUGGCGGGGUAAAGGCCCACCAAGGCGACGAUCCGUAGCUGGUCUGAGAGGAUGAUCCGCCACACUGGAACUGAGACACGGUCCAGACUCCUACGGGAGGCAGCAGUGGGGAAUAUUGGACAAUGGGCGCAAGCCUGAUCCAGCCAUACCGCGUGGGUGAAGAAGGCCUUCGGGUUGUAAAGCCCUUUUGUUGGGAAAGAAAAGCAGCAGGUUAAUACCCCGCUGUUCUGACGGUACCCAAGGAAUAAGCACCGGCUAACUUCGUG